This 73-nucleotide transfer RNA is filed under the name Fidelibacterota bacterium. RNAcentral's name for it is "tRNA-Ala". It matches the Rfam family "tRNA". From Rfam's summary of the family: Transfer RNA (tRNA) molecules are approximately 80 nucleotides in length. Their secondary structure includes four short double-helical elements and three loops (D, anti-codon, and T loops). Lineage: Bacteria; Pseudomonadati; Fidelibacterota. The record is from RNAcentral.
GGGGCUGUAGCUCAGCUGGGAGAGCGCAGGGUUCGCAUCUCUGAGGUCGUGGGUUCGAUCCCCAUCAGCUCCA